GACGAACGCUGGCGGCGUGCCUAAUACAUGCAAGUUGAGCGCUGAAGGUUGGUACUUGUACCAACUGGAUGAGCAGCGAACGGGUGAGUAACGCGUGGGGAAUCUGCCUUUGAGCGGGGGACAACAUUUGGAAACGAAUGCUAAUACCGCAUAAAAACUUUAAACACAAGUUUUAAGUUUGAAAGAUGCAAUUGCAUCACUCAAAGAUGAUUCCGCGUUGUAUUAGCUAGUUGGUGAGGUAAAGGCUCACCAAGGCGAUGAUACAUAGCCGACCUGAGAGGGUGAUCGGCCACAUUGGGACUGAGACACGGCCCAAACUCCUACGGGAGGCAGCAGUAGGGAAUCUUCGGCAAUGGACGAAAGUCUGACCGAGCAACGCCGCGUGAGUGAAGAAGGUUGUCGGAUCGUAAAACUCUGUUGGUAGAGAAGAACGUUGGUGAGAGUGGAAAGCUCAUCAAGUGACGGUAACUACACAGAAAGGGACGGCUAACUACGUG
RNAcentral lists this ribosomal RNA (497 nucleotides) under uncultured bacterium. RNAcentral describes it as "partial 16S ribosomal RNA". It matches the Rfam family "Bacterial small subunit ribosomal RNA", at positions 28 to 507 of the family's 1533-position model. The record is from RNAcentral.